Molecule: ribosomal RNA, 468 nt
Filed under: uncultured bacterium
Lineage: Bacteria
Description: partial 16S ribosomal RNA
Rfam family: Bacterial small subunit ribosomal RNA
Source: RNAcentral
GACGAACGCUGGCGGCGUGCUUAACACAUGCAAGUCGAACGGAAAGGCCCUGCUAUUUUGGGGUGCCCGAGUGGCGAACGGGUGAGUAACACGUGAGUAACCUGCCCUUGACUUUGGGACAACUUCAGGUAACUGGGGCUAAUACCGGAUAGGAGCUCCUGCUGCCUGGAGGGGGUCGGAUAGUUUCGGCGGUUGGGGAUGGACUCGCGGCUGAUCAGAUCGUUGGUGGGGUAGUGGCUUACCAAAGCUUUGACGGGUAGCUGACCUGAGAGGGGGGCCAGCCACGUUGGUACUGAUGUACGGCCCAGUGUCCGACGGGAGGCAACAGUGGGGAGUGUUGCACAAUGAGCGGAAGCCGGUUGCAGCAACGCCGCGGUGGUGAAGACCGCUUUCAGGAUGGUAACCGCUUUCGCCUGUGACGAAGCGUGUGUGACGGUAAUCGGUAAAGAAGCACCGGCUAACUACGUG